RNAcentral lists this ribosomal RNA (749 nucleotides) under uncultured bacterium. Its description in RNAcentral is "bacterial SSU rRNA". It matches the Rfam family "Bacterial small subunit ribosomal RNA", at positions 47 to 786 of the family's 1533-position model. The record is from RNAcentral.
CCUAACACAUGCAAGUCGAACGGUAACAGGAAGAAGCUUGCUUCUUUGCCGACGAGUGGCGGACGGGUGAGUAAUGUCUGGGAAACUGCCUGAUGGAGGGGGAUAACUACUGGAAACGGUAGCUAAUACCGCAUAACGUCGCAAGACCAAAGAGGGGGACCCUCGGGCCUCUUGCCAUCGGAUGUGCCCAGAUGGGAUUAGCUAGUAGGUGGGGUAACGGCUCACCUAGGCGACGAUCCCUAGCUGGUCUGAGAGGAUGACCAGCCACACUGGAACUGAGACACGGUCCAGACUCCUACGGGAGGCAGCAGUGGGGAAUAUUGCACAAUGGGCGCAAGCCUGAUGCAGCCAUGCCGCGUGUAUGAAGAAGGCCUUCGGGUUGUAAAGUACUUUCAGCGGGGAGGAAGGGAGUAAAGUUAAUACCUUUGCUCAUUGACGUUACCCGCAGAAGAAGCACCGGCUAACUCCGUGCCAGCAGCCGCGGUAAUACGGAGGGUGCAAGCGUUAAUCGGAAUUACUGGGCGUAAAGCGCACGCAGGCGGUUUGUUAAGUCAGAUGUGAAAUCCCCGGGCUCAACCUGGGAACUGCAUCUGAUACUGGCAAGCUUGAGUCUCGUAGAGGGGGGUAGAAUUCCAGGUGUAGCGGUGAAAUGCGUAGAGAUCUGGAGGAAUACCGGUGGCGAAGGCGGCCCCCUGGACGAAGACUGACGCUCAGGUGCGAAAGCGUGGGGAGCAAGCAGAUUAGAUACC